UGGUUUGAGCGGGCCGGUGGCUGGGCCGCGGGGAAGGGAAGCAGGCUGCGCGCGUUCUGGGCCCGGGCGGAAGGAGAGAAAGGAGGCCAGGGGAAAAAAAGGAGUGGGCCGGGUAAAGAGAGGAGCUGGGCUGGCUGGGGUGUUUCCCUUUUUUUUUCUUUUCUAUUUUAUUUUCCAAAGCAUUAUCAAAUCCAUUUUAAAAUCACUUUGAAUUACUUUUGAACUUUAGUCAAAUCACUCAGCGCAAUAAAAUUAAUUCUCCUGCAUGAAUGCACAAACAAGUUGCUAAGCUCUAUGAUAAAUUUAUUUUAAUGAAAAAUAUUAUUUUCCUAUAUUUCAUGAGCACAAAAAUACAAAUUAACGUAAUUUCUCCUAUUUUUAAAUACUUGCAAACUUUAGGGUGUUACAAAUCUACCCCCUUAAAAUGAAUCUCGUCCUCGAGAUUCGGAAGUGACACGGAUUCCAAAAGGGAGACAAGAACAAGAUCUUGAUAUCUAUUUCAACUUCACAACUUGUAUUCCAAAAGCAACACUCAUG
This 537-nucleotide long non-coding RNA is filed under the name Sorghum bicolor (sorghum). RNAcentral describes it as "long non-coding RNA (SBIC_LNC012929)". The record is from RNAcentral. Lineage: Eukaryota; Viridiplantae; Streptophyta; Magnoliopsida; Poales; Poaceae.